This 21-nucleotide non-coding RNA is filed under the name Rattus norvegicus (Norway rat). The record is from RNAcentral. Lineage: Eukaryota; Metazoa; Chordata; Mammalia; Rodentia; Muridae.
AGAGAGAGAACUGACAGUAGC